This is a long non-coding RNA of Cydia strobilella, 538 nucleotides long. RefSeq lists it as uncharacterized. The transcript is spliced from 3 exons. The record is from RefSeq and is a predicted model, not a curated record. NCBI's taxonomy places the organism in Eukaryota, Metazoa, Arthropoda, Insecta, Lepidoptera, Tortricidae.
AGUUUUUUCUCUUCAAAGAUACUUUUACAGAUUAUGAAGGCAAAAUUAUAUCGUUGAGCUAAAUUUAAUGACAGAAUUAUAAGACAAGAAUAUUCUCCUAGGGUUUCGUAAAGUUUUCGCGAAAUCGAACAAAUAUACUACAAUCGUCGAACAAUAUGGAAGUACCUCGUAUUAUGGAACUAUUAUGGAAUAAACAGUGAAUUUUCUCGUCAAAAACGGUGUUCCCAGUGUCCUCAAAUAAGUACGAGUGCAUCUAUUAAUAGUCCAAAGCAACAGAUGUCUAGAAAUGAGCCUACAGUGCGAAUGAAAUGGAUUUAAAGUCGAAACUGAUGCGAAGCAAGCUGAAAACUCUAUUGAAAUGUUUCCUGGUGCUUGAUAUACAUGACUGUCAUUGAAGAAAAACAGAAGUUGAAAUUUUGCUGUGGAAACUUUUAAAACAAACAACCUAGUUGCCGGCCGGGUGGUACUUCAAGUCGGACGGAGAAAAAUUUCCAGUGCUGCCUUACUUAGUUCUUCCGGAAGUUUCGUCAAUUUCCUA